RNAcentral lists this long non-coding RNA (1762 nucleotides) under Hordeum vulgare. RNAcentral describes it as "long non-coding RNA (HVUL_LNC008165)". Lineage: Eukaryota; Viridiplantae; Streptophyta; Magnoliopsida; Poales; Poaceae. The record is from RNAcentral.
UUUGGCAUUGAUUUCUUUCAAAGUGCACUCUAACUUCUCCUCAUUUUGUUUGCAUAUACAUUUUCUUUUCCUUUUUAGGUUUGAAGAAGUAAAAUAGCUAACAUGAUACAUUUUUAGUGAAAUUCUAUGGCCACACUUAAUGACACAAUAGUAUGGCUUAAUACUUAAACUAGUAUACAACCACCAAAUUUAAAAUUUUCUAUACGAGAUAUGUUUGAUAGCACCUGUUAUAUCGUCAUUUCUAUGCUCACUAAGUCAGUUGGUUAUAUUAAAACUCGUACCAUUAAGGACAUUGAGUCCUAAAAUAUUUAUAUUAAAAUUUAUAUUUAUUUAUAACUUAUAUUUAUUUAUUAUAAAUGUAGUUAAUAUUUUUUAUAACCUACUUAAUGUAAUUUAGUUCGUGACAAUGGUCCUAAACUUAAUAAUAGUCAUGUUUAUGUUAUAAUUGUGACGUACAUAGCUAAAACACAUAAUCAACCACACACAAAAGCUCUACAUUCCACGGAUUAAUUUACGUAAUUGCAACAACAUAGUGAAUAUAUUGAUGCGUGUAUACUUAAAUGCUUUGGUAGAUAUCUCUAGAGUAUAUGGGCUCAGCAAUAUCAUGAUAGCAGCUUAUAUUCUACCAUCAUGUUUACAUGAUACAAUAAUCUAGAACAUAUAAAUUGCUUAAGAUGGGAUUACCACCGGAUCAAUUGUUUGUAUAGCACCAAGCCCCACGACUAAAAUCAGAGUGUGGAUUAUUGAGAGGUUGCCAAGAGAUUAAGUUCCAUACAGGUGUGACCCAUAAAUUUUGCCCCUAGGUUUGCCUCUUGUUUUCACCAUUCUAUAGGGUUCUAAGGGCCUCCUUGAUUUGCAGGAUUUUAAAAAUGCACGAAUGAGAGAAGUAGAGAAUUGGAUUGGCAUAUCCAUUUGAACCCUAUAGGAUUAGCAACGAGUGUUUGAUGCCAUAGGAAAAUCAAAGGAAUUGUAAAAAGAAGUUAGAGUGGAUGUUAGAUUUCCUAUGAAAUAUAGUACAAAAGAUUUCAUAGGAAAAAAUCCUAUGGGAUCCAAUCCAAUGAAUCAAAGUACCAAUGUAGGAAAAAAAUCCUAAGGAUUUUAAUCCUCUAAAAAUCCUAUAGAAUUCGUUUGAAUCAAACGAGCCCUAACUUCUUGUGUCUAACUUAUGCGAUCACUUUGUUGCAAUCUGUACUCAACACAGUUGUGUCGAUCAAUAAGACUCAUAGAACGGAUAUUAUUUCCAUCCAAAGUAUUAUUUAUAACGAGCUGAACAUGCAUGCUAGCUACCCCACAAUUCCAAAUUAAUCAAACUUUUUUGUUUUAUCCUAAACCUACUUCUUUUAGUUUGACCAAGUUUAUAGGGGAAUAUAUUGAUAUUUCAUACACCAAAUUAGUUCUUUAGACUCUUUAUAAAGUUGGUAUACUUGUUGUUGUAUAGAUCUUAACUAGUUGUACAGAUUCUUUAGAUUCUUGCUAGAUAUUAAUAAAAAUACCAUAGAACAAUUGUUCUACGGUCACGUCUAAAAAAAACUAUAUUUCUGUACAAAUUUUGGUCAAACUGAAACAAGUUUGACUCAAUACAAACCUAUAACUUCAAUUAAUUUGGAAUGGAGAGCAUAUUUGUGUUGGAAAUAAUGGAAGUUGAUUUUCCGCAAAAGUUCUGACAAGGCUCUCUAGUCUGGUAUACAUAUACCCGUCGAUUGUAUUAAAUUCAUGUUUCGGCCAGUUAAUCCAAAUUUUUGAAGUGAUGGAAAUAGUUGAG